GGUUCUGCAUAUUUUAUUUUGAAUCUACUUGCCUUAGAUGAAGCUGAAACCCCCUUUGCAAGUUGGGGCAUUCAUGUUGUGGAAAAUUUUGAUGGAUUCAAUCAUUUGAAACUAUGCAAUUAGGCUAAGCAUAAUGUUCAAUAGACUGAUGUUGAUUUUCUUGGAUUGUUAUAAUCACAGUCUUAAUUUGUGUUUUGCUAUAGUUAAUUCUUCCUUGAUCAUAUAAUUAGCACAAUUAACUGUAAUAUAUGUUACUGUUCCUUUGUCUGGUCAGCGGGAUAAUGUUUGAGACCAUUUAGCAGUCUUGUGAUCAAGGUGUCUAAUAGCUAUGCAGUUGUGAUUCUUCUGGUUAGAAGUGUGUCU
This 363-nucleotide unclassified non-coding RNA is filed under the name Hevea brasiliensis (rubber tree). Lineage: Eukaryota; Viridiplantae; Streptophyta; Magnoliopsida; Malpighiales; Euphorbiaceae. The record is from RNAcentral.